This 361-nucleotide ribosomal RNA is filed under the name uncultured bacterium. RNAcentral's name for it is "bacterial SSU rRNA". It matches the Rfam family "Bacterial small subunit ribosomal RNA", at positions 917 to 1271 of the family's 1533-position model. The record is from RNAcentral.
GGGCUCACACAAGCGGUGGAGCAUGUGGCUUAAUUCGAGGCAACGCGAAGAACCUUAUCCUGGGUUUGACAUGCAUGGAUUAACCCUAUGAAAGUAGGGCCACGCUCGCAAGAGUGGAACAUGCACAGGUGCUGCAUGGCUGUCGUCAGCUCGUGUCGUGAGAUGUCGCGUUAAGUCGCUAAACGAGCGAAACCCUUAUCCCUAGUUGCCAGCGAGUCAUGUCGGGGACUCUAGGGAGACUGCCGGUGUCAAACCGGAGGAAGGCGGGGAUGACGUCAAGUCCUCAUGGCUUUAUGCCCAGGGCUGCACACGUGCUACAAUGGGGCGUACAAAGCGCUGCAAGUCCGCGAGGACAAGCGAA